Non-coding RNA from Nelumbo nucifera (sacred lotus), 121 nucleotides. The record is from Rfam. NCBI's taxonomy places the organism in Eukaryota, Viridiplantae, Streptophyta, Magnoliopsida, Proteales, Nelumbonaceae.
GGGUGCGAUCAUACCAGCACUAAUGCACCGGAUCCCAUCAGAACUCCGAAGUUAAGCGUGCUUGUGGGCGAGAGUAGUACUAGGAUGGGUGACCUCCUGGGAAGUCCUCGUGUUGCACCCC